RNAcentral lists this ribosomal RNA (253 nucleotides) under uncultured bacterium. RNAcentral's name for it is "partial 16S ribosomal RNA". It matches the Rfam family "Bacterial small subunit ribosomal RNA", at positions 524 to 776 of the family's 1533-position model. The record is from RNAcentral.
GACGUAGGGCGCGAGCGUUGUCCGGAUUUAUUGGGCGUAAAGAGCUCGUAGGCGGUUUGUCGCGUCGGCUGUGAAAACCCACGGCUUAACUGUGGGCUUGCAGCUGAUACGGGCAGGCUAGAGUUCGGUAGGGGAGACUGGAAUUCCUGGUGUAGCGGUGAAAUGCGCAGAUAUCAGGAGGAACACCGGUGGCGAAGGCGGCUCUCUGGUACGUGACUGACGCUGAGACGCGAAAGCGUGGGGAGCAAACAGG